RNAcentral lists this small nucleolar RNA (138 nucleotides) under Ornithorhynchus anatinus (platypus). The record is from RNAcentral. Lineage: Eukaryota; Metazoa; Chordata; Mammalia; Monotremata; Ornithorhynchidae.
CCCCUCUCAGGGCCGCACCCGGAGAGUUUCCAGUCCUCUACCAGUCUCGGCUAUGGGAGGGAGAGUCAAGCAGAGGCCUACACAUUCCAUUCCUAGCUUGGCCAGCGGCUAGAAAGUGGAAGGCCAUCUGCUACAAGU